RNAcentral lists this ribosomal RNA (892 nucleotides) under Fusarium oxysporum. RNAcentral's name for it is "eukaryotic LSU rRNA". It matches the Rfam family "Eukaryotic large subunit ribosomal RNA", at positions 39 to 961 of the family's 3401-position model. Lineage: Eukaryota; Fungi; Ascomycota; Sordariomycetes; Hypocreales; Nectriaceae. The record is from RNAcentral.
CAUAUCAAUAAGCGGAGGAAAAGAAACCAACAGGGAUUGCCCUAGUAACGGCGAGUGAAGCGGCAACAGCUCAAAUUUGAAAUCUGGCUCUCGGGCCCGAGUUGUAAUUUGUAGAGGAUACUUUUGAUGCGGUGCCUUCCGAGUUCCCUGGAACGGGACGCCAUAGAGGGUGAGAGCCCCGUCUGGUUGGAUGCCAAAUCUCUGUAAAGUUCCUUCAACGAGUCGAGUAGUUUGGGAAUGCUGCUCUAAAUGGGAGGUAUAUGUCUUCUAAAGCUAAAUACCGGCCAGAGACCGAUAGCGCACAAGUAGAGUGAUCGAAAGAUGAAAAGCACUUUGAAAAGAGAGUUAAAAAGUACGUGAAAUUGUUGAAAGGGAAGCGUUUAUGACCAGACUUGGGCUUGGUUAAUCAUCUGGGGUUCUCCCCAGUGCACUUUUCCAGUCCAGGCCAGCAUCAGUUUUCCCCGGGGGAUAAAGGCGGCGGGAAUGUGGCUCUCUUCGGGGAGUGUUAUAGCCCACCGUGUAAUACCCUGGGGGGGACUGAGGUUCGCGCAUCUGCAAGGAUGCUGGCGUAAUGGUCAUCAACGACCCGUCUUGAAACACGGACCAAGGAGUCGUCUUCGUAUGCGAGUGUUCGGGUGUCAAACCCCUACGCGUAAUGAAAGUGAACGCAGGUGAGAGCUUCGGCGCAUCAUCGACCGAUCCUGAUGUUCUCGGAUGGAUUUGAGUAAGAGCAUACGGGGCCGGACCCGAAAGAAGGUGAACUAUGCCUGUAUAGGGUGAAGCCAGAGGAAACUCUGGUGGAGGCUCGCAGCGGUUCUGACGUGCAAAUCGAUCGUCAAAUAUGGGCAUGGGGGCGAAAGACUAAUCGAACCUUCUAGUAGCUGGUUUCCGC